This 255-nucleotide ribosomal RNA is filed under the name uncultured bacterium. RNAcentral's name for it is "partial 16S ribosomal RNA". It matches the Rfam family "Bacterial small subunit ribosomal RNA", at positions 524 to 776 of the family's 1533-position model. The record is from RNAcentral.
UACGUAGGGUGCGAGCGUUGUCCGGAAUUAUUGGGCGUAAAGGGCUCGUAGGCGGCGCGUCGCGUCGGGGAGUGAAAGCCCGCUGCUUAACGGCGGGUUGGCUUCCGGUACGGGCAUCGCUGGAGUGCGGCAGGGGAGACUGGAAUUCCUGGUGUAGCGGUGGAAUGCGCAGAUAUCAGGAGGAACGCCGGUGGCGAAGGCGGGUCUCUGGGCCGUUACUGACGCUGAGGAGCGAAAGCGUGGGGAGCGAACAGG